This 286-nucleotide long non-coding RNA is filed under the name Salvia miltiorrhiza (redroot sage). RNAcentral's name for it is "long non-coding RNA (SMIL_LNC009746)". Lineage: Eukaryota; Viridiplantae; Streptophyta; Magnoliopsida; Lamiales; Lamiaceae. The record is from RNAcentral.
UUGUAUUAUCUGGCGAAUCCAGGAGACAACCGAUAUAUCGGAACUCUGGAAGUUGGAGGUUUUGAAAUCCAGACCGAAGGCCAAGCCGGACCAGAAACGGACGUCCUAAUCUUAGGACGAGAUUUCCUUGACAAAUAUAAACCAUGGUCAUGGAAAUCAGGAGGAAUGGAGAUUACCAUUGGACGCCAAAGAGUAAUGAUCCAAUGACAAGUCCGUUCUCGAUAUACAUCUCGGUAGGGAUGUUAUAUGAAAAGUACAAAGCAGAAUAUUUUGCUGCUUAUGUGGA